UACGGAAGGAGCAGUGGGGGAAUAUUGCACAAUGGGCGAAAGCCUGAUGCAGCUAUGCCGCGUGUAUGAAGAAGGCCUUAGGGUUGUAAAGUACUUUCAUCGGGGAGGAAAAAACAAAACUAAUAAUUUUAUUUCUUGACGUUACCCGAAAAAGAAGCACCGGCUAACUCCGUGCCAGCAGCCGCGGUAAUACGGAGGGUGCUAGCGUUAAUCAGAAUUACUGGGCGUAAAGAGCACGUAGGUGGUUUUUUUAAGUCAGAUGUGAAAUCCCUGGGCUUAACCUAGGAACUGCAUUUUGAAACUGAAAUACUAGAGUAUCGUAGAGGGAGGUAGAAUUCUAGGUGUAGCGGUGAAAUGCGUAGAUAUCUGGAGGAAUACCUGUGGCGAAAGCGGCCUCCUAAACGAAUACUGACACUGAGGGUGCGAAAGCGUGGGGAGCAAACAGGGAUUAGAUACC
RNAcentral lists this ribosomal RNA (457 nucleotides) under uncultured bacterium. RNAcentral describes it as "bacterial SSU rRNA". It matches the Rfam family "Bacterial small subunit ribosomal RNA", at positions 340 to 786 of the family's 1533-position model. The record is from RNAcentral.